Molecule: ribosomal RNA, 288 nt
Filed under: uncultured Diversisporaceae
Lineage: Eukaryota; Fungi; Glomeromycota; Glomeromycetes; Diversisporales
Description: partial small subunit ribosomal RNA
Rfam family: Eukaryotic small subunit ribosomal RNA
Source: RNAcentral
AGCAGCCGCGGUAAUUCCAGCUCCAAUAGCGUAUAUUAAAGUUGUUGCAGUUAAAAAGCUCGUAGUUGAAUUUCGGGGUUCUACCGUUGGUCGGGCUUUGUCUGUACUGAUGUGUAGAAUUUCUACCUUCUGGGGAACCAUCAUGUUAUUAAUUUAGCGUGGUGGGAAACCAGGACCUUUACCUUGAAAAAAUUAGAGUGUUCAAAGCAGGCUUAUGUCUGAAUACAUUAGCAUGGAAUAAUAGAAUAGGACGGUGGUCCUGUUUUGUUGGUUUCUGAAUCACCGUAA